Molecule: ribosomal RNA, 497 nt
Filed under: uncultured bacterium
Lineage: Bacteria
Description: partial 16S ribosomal RNA
Rfam family: Bacterial small subunit ribosomal RNA
Source: RNAcentral
GAUGAACGCUGGCGGCGUGCCUAAUACAUGCAAGUCGAGCGAACGGACGAGAAGCUUGCUUUUCUGAUGUUAGCGGCGGACGGGUGAGUAACACGUGGAUAACCUACCUAUAACACUGGGAUAACUUCGGGAAACCGGAGCUAAUACCGGAUAAUAUUUUGAACCGCAUGGUUCAAAAGUGAAAGACGGUCUUGCUGUCACUUAUAGAUGGAUCCGCGCUGCAUUAGCUAGUUGGUAAGGUAACGGCUUACCAAGGCAACGAUGCAUAGCCGACCUGAGAGGGUGAUCGGCCACACUGGAACUGAGACACGGUCCAGACUCCUACGGGAGGCAGCAGUAGGGAAUCUUCCGCAAUGGGCGAAAGCCUGACGGAGCAACGCCGCGUGAGUGAUGAAGGUCUUCGGAUCGUAAAACUCUGUUAUUAGGGAAGAACAUAUGUGUAAGUAACUGUGCACAUCUUGACGGUACCUAAUCAGAAAGCCACGGCUAACUACGUG